UCUCCAGGUGUCCCGAGGCCUCGCUGACGCCGGAGAGGGUGCCCCUGCUUUUUUCCGUUUGUUGGCCAUUGCUACUAAGACCUGCUUUUUCUACUGAGACGAAGUGCCUGUUAAAGUGCCUAUUUUUUUUGUUGCCUAUUAUUAGUUCUACCGAGACUCAAUUGGUUCUCCUUAGACUGCCGAUUGGCUGAUGGCCCCGUCAAUCAGGGGAAAGAACUAGUUUUCAGACACCUGGGGAAAGUAUUACUUCUAGCCCCUUCUUGCUGAAAUGAAGGGUUCUGGAGAAAACCCAAGAGAUUAGUGAUAAAAAUGGAAGAAGAGCGCAUUUCCCAACACUUCCAAUAACCCAGUGCUAUGGACUGAAUUGUGCACCCCUCAAACUCCUAGUGUGAUGUUCACAGGAAACAUCCUGACCAGGCCCACCUGUGAAUGACUGCAGGAAGGAAGAAAUUAACACAUCCCCUCUGGAAGCUGACCAGAAGCAGGAAAUGUUUGACUUUACUGCCUCCCCUUUUAGUGUAAAAGAAGCCUGAAUUCUAAUUAUGGCAAGAUGGUUCUUUGGGACAUGAGUCUACCAUCUUCUUAGUCUACCAGUUUUCCAAAUAAUGUUGCUAUGCUUUGCCCGAACAUCUCGUCUCUCAACUGAUUGGUCUGUCAUGUGGUGAGCAGUAUGAGCUUGGACUCGGUAAGAUUUGGGCAAGUCAAUCUUUUGAUAUCGUUUAGGCAGCACCCCAGUUCUUUGGGAAAUUGAAAGCAACUGUCUUUGUCUUGCAAGUAUUUGCAAGAUCAGAAAUAUAAACACAGCCCAAAAUGGCCUGAGACUGAGCCUAGUUAACUCAAUCAGGUAGAACCUGAAAUCUAAAGGGAGAAAAAAAGAGGGAAAGAAGCCUUUUUAAAAGUAAAAACUGCUGGCACCCAGACAUAUUGUAAUUAUUCCAUUUAUAUGAAAUAUCCAGAAUAGGCAUAUCCAUAGGAAGCUCAUUAGCAGUUGCCAGGGACUGAGUGGGAAAUGGAAAGCAAUUGCUAAUGGAUACAGGGUUUCUUCUUGGGGUGAUAGAACUAGUGGUGAUGAUUGUACACCUCUGUGAAAAACCACUGAAAUGUACACUUUAAAAGGGUGAAUUUUAUGGCAUGUGAGUUAUAUCUCAAUAAAAAUUACAGCAUU
Lagenorhynchus albirostris (white-beaked dolphin) is the source of this 1165-nucleotide long non-coding RNA. RefSeq lists it as uncharacterized. The record is from RefSeq and is a predicted model, not a curated record. The transcript is spliced from 3 exons. Lineage: Eukaryota; Metazoa; Chordata; Mammalia; Artiodactyla; Delphinidae.